RNAcentral lists this long non-coding RNA (269 nucleotides) under Prunus persica (peach). Its description in RNAcentral is "long non-coding RNA (PPER_LNC005328)". The record is from RNAcentral. Lineage: Eukaryota; Viridiplantae; Streptophyta; Magnoliopsida; Rosales; Rosaceae.
AUCAUUUUAGGGUAGUGUUUUACUUUGUUAAAACCAUAUAAACGUAUUCUAUAGAAAGAAGGUUAGACUGGGGUAUGAGCUUGAUAUAUAUAUAUAUAUAUAUAUGUGGGUGAAUUGGAUGUGAAACCUGAGAUUCUUAACCCCAGAAUUGCAUCCACAAAGUCUCCGGUGAGUUUCGAAAGCCUUUGCGAAUUUUGUUCUAAAUACUGGACUGAUCUUUCUCCGCUCCAAGGAGACUUCUUUUGCUAGGUAGGGAAAACCAUUCCUGU